GAUGAACGCUGGCGGCGUGCCUAAUACAUGCAAGUCGAGCGAACAGACGAGGAGCUUGCUCCUCUGACGUUAGCGGCGGACGGGUGAGUAACACGUGGAUAACCUACCUAUAAGACUGGGAUAACUUCGGGAAACCGGAGCUAGUACCGGAUAAUAUAUUGAACCGCAUGGUUCAAUAGUGAAAGACGGUUUUGCUGUCACUUAUAGAUGGAUCCGCGCCGCAUUAGCUAGUUGGUAAGGUAACGGCUUACCAAGGCAACGAUGCGUAGCCGACCUGAGAGGGUGAUCGGCCACACUGGAACUGAGACACGGUCCAGACUCCUACGGGAGGCAGCAGUAGGGAAUCUUCCGCAAUGGGCGAAAGCCUGACGGAGCAACGCCGCGUGAGUGAUGAAGGUCUUCGGAUCGUAAAACUCUGUUAUUAGGGAAGAACAAAUGUGUAAGUAACUAUGCACGUCUUGACGGUACCUAAUCAGAAAGCCACGGCUACUACGUG
This 496-nucleotide ribosomal RNA is filed under the name uncultured bacterium. RNAcentral's name for it is "partial 16S ribosomal RNA". It matches the Rfam family "Bacterial small subunit ribosomal RNA", at positions 28 to 507 of the family's 1533-position model. The record is from RNAcentral.